CAGCAGUCAAGAAUAUUAGUCAAUGCUCGCAAGAGUGAACUAGCUAACUGAAAUCCUUGGUGUGUCAUCGGGGAUAACGUAAAGGAAAAUAAUGAUAUUACUUUACUGUUAGUGUCGUCCAAGUACUCGUGCCAGAAGACUCGGUAAGGCGAGAGACGCAAACGUUAUUCGUCUUGAUCAGGCGUAAAGGGUUUGUAGGCGGCUUUAAGUAUCUAAAAUUAAGUUUACUAUUAUAAUACUACUUUUGUACUAUUAUAAUAUUUAACAGAAGGUCAAUUAAAGCUAGAAUCUAAAAGAGGUUAAAACAAUGCUUGAUAACAGGUGUACUAACCGAAUACAACAAGUAGAGUGUUAAGGGCGAAGGCUUUUAUCCAAUAAAGAUUGACGCUGAGAAACGAAGGUGAGGACAGAAAAAAGGAUUAGAGACCCUUGUAUCCCUCACUGUCAACGAUGAAUGGUAGUUACUAGGGAGAAUAUAAACUAGAGACGAUGUUAACACGAAAACCAUUCCGCCUUGUGAGUACGACUGCAAAGUUGAAAACAAAAAAAUUAGUCGGUUUCGGAGCAAACGAAGUGAAGCAUGUUAUUUAAUUCGAUAAACCGC
RNAcentral lists this ribosomal RNA (604 nucleotides) under Inonotus obliquus. RNAcentral's name for it is "partial small subunit ribosomal RNA". It matches the Rfam family "Bacterial small subunit ribosomal RNA", at positions 349 to 962 of the family's 1533-position model. The record is from RNAcentral. Lineage: Eukaryota; Fungi; Basidiomycota; Agaricomycetes; Hymenochaetales; Hymenochaetaceae.